UACGGAGGGUGCGAGCGUUGUCCGGAAUCACUGGGCGUAAAGGGCGCGUAGGCGGCGCGGGCAGUCAACGGUGAAAGCUUGGGGCUCAACCCCGAGUCGGCCGUCGAUACUCCCGGGCUUGAGCACUGUAGAGGCAGGUGGAAUUCCACGUGUAGCGGUGAAAUGCGUAGAGAUGUGGAGGAACACCGAUGGCGAAGGCAGCCUUCUGGGCCAACACUGACGCUCAUGCACGAAAGCGUGGGGAGCAAACAGG
Molecule: ribosomal RNA, 253 nt
Filed under: uncultured bacterium
Lineage: Bacteria
Description: partial 16S ribosomal RNA
Rfam family: Bacterial small subunit ribosomal RNA
Source: RNAcentral